UAGGAGUGAGCCUGAGGGCCAAACAGAGCACCUCAAAUGCUUGUACCUAAGCCCAACCAUUCAGGUGCAGUUGAGUAGGUGCCACAUUAAGCUUUCGUAAAUUCAUUAGAGGAGGCAAACAAGCAAAUCGUUGAAUGGUAAACAUACAUGAAGAAGAAGUUUGUAGGACAACUCUCCUUUCCAUGAUAUACUUCAUCGUUCCUCUUACACACCAUUAUGUUGAACAUCUUGGCGAUCCUAUAGCUCAACAAAGCAAGUCUGCUCAGCCCACCACUUUAGCUGAUAUCCC
This 289-nucleotide long non-coding RNA is filed under the name Vigna radiata. Its description in RNAcentral is "long non-coding RNA (VRAD_LNC008977)". The record is from RNAcentral. Lineage: Eukaryota; Viridiplantae; Streptophyta; Magnoliopsida; Fabales; Fabaceae.